GUUUUAUAAGAAUUUUUAGGAUAGCUGCUUUUGUCUUAAUGGACAUAACUGAGUUAUUCUUUUUUCGCCCCAGGGAUUUGAGCUUCAACAAUUUAACUGGACAGAUACCAGACUCACUGUUUAACUUGAGUUCGCUCUCUAUUCUGUUUCUUGGAAACAAUAAGUUGCCCUGCCUGAAUCUAAAAGUUCGUCUCUUCUCAACAUAGAUUUAUCAUACAACAAUCUACUGGGGAGCUUUCCUUCAUGGGUCAACGGAGAAAAGUUAAAGCUUAAUUUAAUCGCCAACAAC
Non-coding RNA from Prunus avium (sweet cherry), 289 nucleotides. The record is from RefSeq and is a predicted model, not a curated record. NCBI's taxonomy places the organism in Eukaryota, Viridiplantae, Streptophyta, Magnoliopsida, Rosales, Rosaceae.